Molecule: ribosomal RNA, 253 nt
Filed under: uncultured bacterium
Lineage: Bacteria
Description: partial 16S ribosomal RNA
Rfam family: Bacterial small subunit ribosomal RNA
Source: RNAcentral
UACGGGGGGGGGAAGCGUUGUUCGGAAUUACUGGGCGUAAAGGGCUCGUAGGCGGCCAACUAAGUCAUACGUGAAAUCCCUCAGCUUAACUGGGGAACUGCGUGUGAUACUGGAUGGCUUGGAUUUGGGAGAGGGAUGCGGAAUUCCAGGUGUAGCGGUGAAAUGCGUAGAUAUCGGAAGGAACACCAGUGGCGAAAGCGGCUUCCUGGUCCAGCACCGACGUUCAGGCACGAAAGCGUGGGGAGCAAACAGG